CCCUUAGAUGUUCUGGGCCGCACGCGCGCUACACUGAUGCAUUCAACGAGCCUAUCCUUGACCGACAGGUCCGGAUAAUCUUUGAAUCUGCAUCGUGACGGGGAUAGAUUAUUGCAAUUAUUAAUCUUCAACGAGGAAUGCCUAGUAGGCGCAAGUCAUCAGCUUGCGUCGAUUACGUCCCUGCCCUUUGUACACACCGCCCGUCGCUCCUACCGAUUGGGUGUGCUGGUGAAAUGUUCGGAUCGGCCGUUUGUCGCGGUUUCCGCGUCAUGUGGCUGAGAAGUUCAUUAAACCCUCCCACCUAGAGGAAGGAGAAGUCGUAACA
Molecule: ribosomal RNA, 325 nt
Filed under: uncultured eukaryote
Lineage: Eukaryota
Description: partial 18S ribosomal RNA
Rfam family: Eukaryotic small subunit ribosomal RNA
Source: RNAcentral